UGGGGAAUUUUGGACAAUGGGGGAAACCCUGAUCCAGCCAUCCCGCGUGUGCGAUGAAGGCCUUCGGGUUGUAAAGCACUUUUGGAGGAAAGAAACGUCAUGGGUUAAUACCCCGUGAAACUGACGGUACCUGCAGAAUAAGCACCGGCUAACUACGUGCCAGCAGCCGCGGUAAUACGUAGGGUGCAAGCGUUAAUCGGAAUUACUGGGCGUAAAGCGUGCGCAGGCGGUUCGGAAAGAAAGAUGUGAAAUCCCAGAGCUCAACUUUGGAACUGCAUUUUUAACUACCGGGCUAGAGUGUGUCAGAGGGAGGUGGAAUUCCGCGUGUAGCAGUGAAAUGCGUAGAUAUGCGGAGGAACACCGAUGGCGAAGGCAGCCUCCUGGGAUAACACUGACGCUCAUGCACGAAAGCGUGGGGAGCAAACAGG
Molecule: ribosomal RNA, 428 nt
Filed under: Acidobacteriota bacterium
Lineage: Bacteria; Pseudomonadati; Acidobacteriota
Description: Acidobacteria bacterium partial 16S ribosomal RNA
Rfam family: Bacterial small subunit ribosomal RNA
Source: RNAcentral